Molecule: long non-coding RNA, 1302 nt
Filed under: Olea europaea subsp. europaea
Lineage: Eukaryota; Viridiplantae; Streptophyta; Magnoliopsida; Lamiales; Oleaceae
Source: RNAcentral
UUAGAUGACUUUACAGAGCCAAUCUNACAAAUCUUGGUGCCCAUCUCAUGCUUUCUAUAGGAUAGAACUAACAAUUUUGGAAAAAUUUAAUGCAGUAGAUUCGAUUUUUGGUUCUUUGGGUGAAGAUCCAUUAAAGAAAGAGCUCAUUGAAACUCCUGCUCGCUUUGUGAAGUAGUUGAUUAAGUUUAGAAGCUAAAUUUGAUCUUGUCUUGGCAUAUAGUAUCUUCAAUUUCUUCCCAAGUAUGUGAAUUUCUUUUACUUUGGUAAGUGAAGAUCUUAUAGCUUCGUGAAUAAGAACUUUUGGCUUCAAGAAGUGUUGUAUGUUGAACUGGAGAUGUAAUUUCCUGCUUACACUAAUAUCAGAAUACAUGGAAGUCAAAUUAACAAAAGGCUUUGUUAUGUGGUUAAGAAUGACAUCUGAUAUAAAUAAAUUACUCAAAUAAAGAAGUUCAAUGAGCACUUGAAACGACAUUAAAAACUUUAAGAUUGAUACAGUAUUGGUAUGGAGUUUGGUUUAAGGUUUCACUGCAAAAAGGGAUUUGGUGAUGUUGCUUCUAGGAUUUGCAGUAAAAUUGGCACGAGAAGCAAAGGAAGUUGCUGUAAAUGUCUAUGUUGCAAUGCGAUAUUGGCAUCCACUGACUGAGGAACCCAUUCAACAGGCAUGUUACAAGAAUUGAAACAACAUACGCUCACAUGUGCUCAUUCUUUAUUUAUAUUUCUCUACACUGGGAGCAUUCUAAAUAGAAUCUAUGUUUUCUUCACUUACAGAUGGUGUUUUGUAGGAAACUAUUAACAUUUUUUAUUGUUGAUAUAAGUGAACGAAAAAAAGAAUAUGCAUCAAUCUUUUGAAGAGAGCUGGACAUUACAUGACAUUGCAGGUACAAAAAUAAAGCAGCUACAUCUCAGUCUCCAGUUUAUCGUUGUUGGUGCAAAGCUUUUGUCGUGUUUGCUGCAGGGGGAGGCUGCAUCCUUUACAGAUAGAUAUGGACUAGCGAUUAGCCUUCCGUUGGCAACUACUACUUUACUAAAUAAGCAAAUUCAAUAUCGGUAUUCUGAUGGAGUAGGUAGUUACUAAUAUUUAGAAAGGGUGACUUUGUUUUAUGUGUUCUAAAUACACAUGAUGUCUUAAAUUUUAAUUUUUUAGUGCGUUUCUUUGUGUUGUAAUAUUAGCUUUUGAAAUGAUCAUCUUGUUGGAUAGAGCAUUAUCUAGGCAAUACUACACUCUCAAGACUCUUGAAUAAUGCAAUAAAUCUUCAACAAUUUCUCUCUCUCUCUCUUAACAUCUACAAUUUCUACAUUAAU